UUGACCUCGGAUCAGGUAGGAAUACCCGCUGAACUUAAGCAUAUCAAUAAGCGGAGGAAGG
This 61-nucleotide ribosomal RNA is filed under the name Fusarium graminearum. Its description in RNAcentral is "partial 28S ribosomal RNA". It matches the Rfam family "Eukaryotic large subunit ribosomal RNA", at positions 1 to 60 of the family's 3401-position model. The record is from RNAcentral. Lineage: Eukaryota; Fungi; Ascomycota; Sordariomycetes; Hypocreales; Nectriaceae. RNAcentral also lists the same sequence under 1 other name.